UCCUACGGGAAGGCAGCAGUAGGGAAUCUUCCGCAAUGGACGAAAGUCUGACGGAGCAACGCCGCGUGAGUGAUGAAGGCUUUCGGGUCGUAAAACUCUGUUGUUAGGGAAGAACAAGUGCUAGUUGAAUAAGCUGGCACCUUGACGGUACCUAACCAGAAAGCCACGGCUAACUACGUGCCAGCAGCCGCGGUAAUACGUAGGUGGCAAGCGUUAUCCGGAAUUAUUGGGCGUAAAGCGCGCGCAGGUGGUUUCUUAAGUCUGAUGUGAAAGCCCACGGCUCAACCGUGGAGGGUCAUUGGAAACUGGGAGACUUGAGUGCAGAAGAGGAAAGUGGAAUUCCAUGUGUAGCGGUGAAAUGCGUAGAGAUAUGGAGGAACACCAGUGGCGAAGGCGACUUUCUGGUCUGUAACUGACACUGAGGCGCGAAAGCGUGGGGAGCAAACAGGAUUAGAUACCCUGGUAGUCCACGCCGUAAACGAUGAGUGCUAAGUGUUAGAGGGUUUCCGCCCUUUAGUGCUGAAGUUAACGCAUUAAGCACUCCGCCUGGGGAGUACGGCCGCAAGGCUGAAACUCAAAGGAAUUGACGGGGGCCCGCACAAGCGGUGGAGCAUGUGGUUUAAUUCGA
This 628-nucleotide ribosomal RNA is filed under the name Bacillus sp. (in: firmicutes). RNAcentral's name for it is "bacterial SSU rRNA". It matches the Rfam family "Bacterial small subunit ribosomal RNA", at positions 337 to 954 of the family's 1533-position model. The record is from RNAcentral. Lineage: Bacteria; Bacillati; Bacillota; Bacilli; Caryophanales; Bacillaceae.